CAGUCGCCGCGGUAAUACGUAGGGUGCAAGCGUUAAUCGGAAUUACUGGGCGUAAAGCGUGCGCAGGCGGUUUUGUAAGACAGAGGUGAAAUCCCCGGGCUCAACCUGGGAACUGCCCUUGUGACUGCAAGGCUGGAGUGCGGCAGAGGGGGAUGGAACUCCGCGUGUAGCGGUGAAAUGCGUAGAUAUGCGGAGGAACACCGAUGGCGAAGGCAAUCCCCUGGGCCUGCACUGACGCUCAUGCGCGAAAGCGUGGGGAGCAAACAGGAUUAGAUACCCCCGUAGUCCCUGUCUCUUAUAC
RNAcentral lists this ribosomal RNA (301 nucleotides) under uncultured bacterium. Its description in RNAcentral is "partial 16S ribosomal RNA". It matches the Rfam family "Bacterial small subunit ribosomal RNA", at positions 509 to 807 of the family's 1533-position model. The record is from RNAcentral.